GCCGGGUGCGGUGGCUCACACCUGUAAUCCCAGCACUUUGGGAGGCAGAGGCAGGUGGAUCACCUGAGGUCAGGAGUUCAAGACCAGCCUGGCCAAAAUGGUGAAACCCUGUCUCUA
Non-coding RNA from Homo sapiens (human), 117 nucleotides. It matches the Rfam family "Metazoan signal recognition particle RNA". From Rfam's summary of the family: The signal recognition particle (SRP) is a universally conserved ribonucleoprotein. It is involved in the co-translational targeting of proteins to membranes. Lineage: Eukaryota; Metazoa; Chordata; Mammalia; Primates; Hominidae. The record is from Rfam.